GAUGAACGCUGGCGGCGUGCCUAACACAUGCAAGUCGAACGGGUCGAGUUUACUCGGCUAGUGGCGGACGGGUGCGUAACACGUAGGUGACCUGCCCCGAAGUGGGGAAUAAUUCCGCGAAAGCGGGACUAAUACCGCAUGGGGUGACGAAGUCGCAUUUGUCACCAAAGCCGAAAGGCGCUUUGGGAUGGGCCUGCGGCGGAUUAGCUAGUUGGUGGGGUAAUGGCCUACCAAGGCGAUGAUCCGUAGGGGGGCGUGAGAGCGUGACCCCCCACAUUGGCACUGAGACACGGGCCAAACUCCUACGGGAGGCUG
RNAcentral lists this ribosomal RNA (315 nucleotides) under uncultured Fusobacteriota bacterium. RNAcentral's name for it is "bacterial SSU rRNA". It matches the Rfam family "Bacterial small subunit ribosomal RNA", at positions 28 to 351 of the family's 1533-position model. The record is from RNAcentral. Lineage: Bacteria; Fusobacteriati; Fusobacteriota.